RNAcentral lists this ribosomal RNA (573 nucleotides) under Yamadazyma mexicana. RNAcentral describes it as "eukaryotic LSU rRNA". It matches the Rfam family "Eukaryotic large subunit ribosomal RNA", at positions 38 to 667 of the family's 3401-position model. The record is from RNAcentral. Lineage: Eukaryota; Fungi; Ascomycota; Pichiomycetes; Serinales; Debaryomycetaceae.
GCAUAUCAAUAAGCGGAGGAAAAGAAACCAACAGGGAUUGCCUUAGUAGCGGCGAGUGAAGCGGCAAUAGCUCAAAUUUGAAAUCUGGCGCCUUCGGUGUCCGAGUUGUAAUUUGAAGAAGGUAUCUUUGGUUUUGGCUCUUGUCUAUGUUUCUUGGAACAGGACGUCAUAGAGGGUGAGAAUCCCGUCUGAUGAGAUGCCCAAUUCCAUGUAAAGUUCCUUCGACGAGUCGAGUUGUUUGGGAAUGCAGCUCUAAGUGGGUGGUAAAUUCCAUCUAAAGCUAAAUAUUGGCGAGAGACCGAUAGCGAACAAGUACUGUGAAGGAAAGAUGAAAAGAACUUUGAAAAGAGAGUGAAAAAGUACGUGAAAUUGUUGAAAGGGAAGGGUUUAAGGUCAGACUUGGUUUACCAGGCCAGCAUCGGUUUAGAUGGCAGGAUAAUGGCGUAGGAAUGUGGCUUUGCUUCGGUAAAGUGUUAUAGCCUGCGUUGAUACUGCCUAUUUAGACCGAGGACUGCGUCUUUGACAAGGAUGCUGGCAUAAUGGCCUUAAGCCACCCGUCUUGAAACACGGACC